UAGCGGCGAGCGAAACGGGAAGAGCCCAGCGCUGAAUCCUGCGGCCCAGGCGGGCCGCCGGGAAAUGUAGCGUUAGGGAGGAGAGUAAUAUAUACACGCGCGGUCAUUAGUCACGGCUGCCUGUCCAAGUUCAUCUUGAACGGGGCCCGCUUACCCGCAGAGGGUGCCAGGCCCGUAGUGACGGUAGCCGGCCGCGACGGUCUCUCUCCCCAGAGUCGGGUUGCUUGAGAGUGCAGCCCUAAGUGGGUGGUAAACUCCAUCUAAGGCUAAAUACUACCACGAGACCGAUAGCGAACAAGUACCGUGAGGGAAAGUUGAAAAGAACUUUGAAGAGAGAGUUAAAGAGUACGUGAAACCGUUCAGGGGUAAACCUGUGGAACUCAAACGAGCGAACGGGGAGAUCAUCGUGUCUUCCGUCGGGGCCCGCGUCCCGGUGCACACCUCCGCCCUCGGCACUCGUGUCGGGGCGGGGGGUGUCCGGGUGCGCAGCCGGGCCCCCGGAGCGCGUGCACUUCUCCCUUAGUAUAACACCGCGACCCGUCGCGCCCCGGUCGAAUGCGCCGUGCGGUUGACCCGUCUCGCUUUGCGGGGCGGAGCCGCGGCGUCCACGACCGAGGCUAUAUGUAUAUAAGCGACGGUAGAGAACGAGGAUCGCGUCCGCCCCAUUCUGAGGGCGUCCGUCGCGUCACAGCGGCUUCCUUCUCGUGGUCCCCGGCGUCUAGUGCGUCGCGGGUGUCGCGUUUCGGAUGUCCGUGGUUAGUGGCGCGCUCUCGGACGGGACGCGUCCCGGUCGGCGGUGGUUUUGUUUUGGGCACUCACAGGACCCGUCUUGAAACACGGACCAAGGAGUCUAGCAUGUGCGCGAGUCAUUGGGAACACUUAUAAACCCAGAGGCGAAAUGAAAGUGAAAGGUCGGCCUCGAGCCGGCCGCAGGGAAGAUGCGCGGACGUCGUCAGACGUCCCGCCGCAUUCCCGAGGCGUUUCGAGAAAGCCCCCGUGCGAUUAUCGAGACGCACUGAGAGCGUACACGCUGGGACCCGAAAGAUGGUGAACUAUGCCUGGUCAGGUCGAAGUCAGGGGAAACCCUGAUGGAGGACCGAAGCGAUUCUGACGUGCAAAUCGAUCGUCCGAACUGGGUAUAGGGGCGAAAGACUAAUCGAACUAUCUAAUAGCUGGUUCCAUCCGAAGUUUCCCUCAGGAUAGCUGGCGCUCGAGAAACAUGACCCCCCGGCUCGCCGGGGGAGUCAUUCUGACAGUCUCAUCCGGUAAAGCGAAUGAUUAGAGGCAUUGGGGUCGAAAUGACCUCAACCUAUUCUCAAACUUUAAAUGGGUGAGAUCUCCUUCUUGCUCGAAGAUGAAGUAGGAGCUCGGAUGGGAGUGCCAAGUGGGCCAAUUUUGGUAAGCAGAACUGGCGCUGUGGGAUGAACCAAACGUCGAGUUAAGGCGCCCAAUGAACGCUCAUCGGAGACCAUAAAAGGCGUUGGUCGCUCAGGACAGCAGGACGGUGGCCAUGGAAGUCGGAAUCCGCUAAGGAGUGUGUAACAACUCACCUGCCGAAGCAACCAGCCCUGAAAAUGGAUGGCGCUGUAGCGUUCAGCCUAUACUCGACCGUCGCAGGCAAGUGGGACGUUCGCGCGGCACCCGUGUCGAGCGAUCGUUUUGAAGCCGCGACGAGUAGGAUGGCCGCGGCGGUGUGCGCAGAAGGGUCUGGGCGUGAGCCCGCCUGGAGCCUCCGUCGGCGCAGAUCUUGGUGGUAGUAGCAAAUACUCAAGCGAGGNNNNNNNNNNNNNNNNNNNNNNNNNNNNNNNNNNNNNNNNNNNNNNNNNNNNNNNNNNNNNNNNNNNNNNNNNNNNNNNNNNNNNNNNNNNNNNNNNNNNGUAGGUAAGGGAAGUCGGCAAGUUGGAUCCGUAACUUCGGGAUAAGGAUUGGCUCUGAGGGCCGUGGCGUGUCGGGCCUGGUCGGGAAGAGGUCAUCGGCCGAGACGUGGAAGCCGGGCGGGGUCUCCCCGCGUGGCGCCUUAACGGGUGUCGCGCGGGUGUGGAUCUCCGUCACCCGGCGCCUCGCCUUGGCCUCCCCUCGGAUCUUCCUCGCUGUGUGGCGCCGGCGUGUUCGCGCACGCUCGGCGACCUGUACGGCCGCCGGACGACGGUCAACUCAGAACUGGCACGGACAAGGGGAAUCCGACUGUCUAAUUAAAACAAAGCAUUGCGAUGGCCCUCGCGGGUGUUGACGCAAUGUGAUUUCUGCCCAGUGCUCUGAAUGUCAAUGUGAAGAAAUUCAAUUAAGCGCGGGUAAACGGCGGGAGUAACUAUGACUCUCUUAAGGUAGCCAAAUGCCUCGUCAUCUAAUUAGUGACGCGCAUGAAUGGAUUAACGAGAUUCCCAUCUGUCCCUAUCUACUAUCUAGCGAAACCACUGCCAAGGGAACGGGCUUGGGAGAAUCAGCGGGGAAAGAAGACCCUGUUGAGCUUGACUCUAGUCUGGUAUUGUAAGGUGACAUGAGGGGUGCAGAAUAAGUGGGAGGCGGGUGCAAAUCCUCCAAACGUGAAAUACCACUACUUUCAUCGUUUCGUUACUUACUCAGUUGGGCGGANGGCGUGCGCCGGCGUUAAUGCCGCGCGUCACGGGUUUUUCGCGCCAAACGUGUACGGGGCGGCGAGCCGCG
RNAcentral lists this ribosomal RNA (2664 nucleotides) under Brachycentrus montanus. Its description in RNAcentral is "partial large subunit ribosomal RNA". It matches the Rfam family "Eukaryotic large subunit ribosomal RNA", at positions 84 to 2595 of the family's 3401-position model. The record is from RNAcentral. Lineage: Eukaryota; Metazoa; Arthropoda; Insecta; Trichoptera; Brachycentridae.